Molecule: ribosomal RNA, 253 nt
Filed under: uncultured bacterium
Lineage: Bacteria
Description: partial 16S ribosomal RNA
Rfam family: Bacterial small subunit ribosomal RNA
Source: RNAcentral
UACGGGGGGGGCAAGCGUUGUUCGGAUUUACUGGGCGUAAAGCGUGCGCAGGCGGUUCUCCAAGUCCGUUGUGAAAGCCCCGGGCUCAACCUGGGAAUGGCAGUGGAAACUAGGGGACUUGAAUCUGGCAGAGGGGGGUGGAAUUCCACGUGUAGCAGUGAAAUGCGUAGAGAUGUGGAGGAACACCGAUGGCGAAGGCAGCCCCCUGGGCUGAGAUUGACGCUCAGGCACGAAAGCGUGGGGAGCAAACAGG